GUGAAUCAUCAAAUUUUUGAACGCAAAUUGCACUCUUUGGUAUUCCGGAGAGUAUGCCUGUUUGAGGGUCAGUUUAAAUAUAAAUCGUUGUGGUUGCUGCCUUUCGUGUUGACGCACCGCAUUUGGGUCGUCUUGCCUUCGGUUAAGUGUCCUAAAAUUUUGCAUGAUCUUUACGAACGUAUUUAAAUGAUU
This 192-nucleotide unclassified non-coding RNA is filed under the name Glomeraceae sp. Its description in RNAcentral is "partial contains 5.8S ribosomal RNA and internal transcribed spacer 2". The stretch from base 1 to 71 matches the Rfam family "5.8S ribosomal RNA", at positions 84 to 154 of the family's 154-position model. Lineage: Eukaryota; Fungi; Glomeromycota; Glomeromycetes; Glomerales; Glomeraceae. The record is from RNAcentral.